UAGCUAGUUGGUGAGGUAAAGGCUUACCAAGGCGACGAUCUGUAGCGGGUCUGAGAGGAUGAUCCGCCACACUGGAACUGAGACACGGUCCAGACUCCUACGGGAGGCAGCAGUGGGGAAUUUUGGACAAUGGGGGCAACCCUGAUCCAGCCAUGCCGCGUGAGUGAAGAAGGCCUUCGGGUUGUAAAGCUCUUUCGGCCGGGAAGAAAUCGCAUGGGCCAAUACCCUGUGUGGAUGACGGUACCGGAAUAAGAAGCACCGGCUAACUACGUGCCAGCAGCCGCGGUAAUACGUAGGGUGCGAGCGUUAAUCGGAAUUACUGGGCGUAAAGCGUGCGCAGGCGGUUUUGUAAGACAGGCGUGAAAUCCCCGGGCUUAACCUGGGAACUGCGUUUGUGACUGCAAGGCUAGAGUACGGCAGAGGGGGGUGGAAUUCCACGUGUAGCAGUGAAAUGCGUAGAGAUGUGGAGGAACACCAAUGGCGAAGGCAGCCCCCUGGGUCGAUACUGACGCUCAUGCACGAAAGCGUGGGUAGCAAACAGGAUUAGAUACCCUGGUAGUCCACGCCCUAAACUAUGUCAACUAGGUGUUGGGUGGGUAAAACCAUUUAGUACCGUAGCUAACGCGUGAAGUUGACCGCCUGGGGAGUACGGCCGCAAGGUUAAAACUCAAAGGAAUUGACGGGGACCCGCACAAGCGGUGGAUGAUGUGGAUUAAUUCGAUGCAACGCGAAAAACCUUACCUACCCUUGACAUGCCAGGAACUUGCCAGAGAUGGCUUGGUGCCCGAAAGGGAGCCUGGACACAGGUGCUGCAUGGCUGUCGUCAGCUCGUGUCGUGAGAUGUUGGGUUAAGUCCCGCAACGAGCGCAACCCUUGUCGUUAAUUGCCAUCAUUUAGUUGGGCACUUUAACGAGACUGCCGGUGACAAACCGGAGGAAGGUGGGGAUGACGUCAAGUCCUCAUGGCCCUUAUGGGUAGGGCUUCACACGUCAUACAAUGGUCGGUACAAAGGGUUGCCAAGCCGCGAGGCGGAGCCAAUCCCAGAAAGCCGAUCGUAGUCCGGAUUGCAGGCUGCAACUCGCCUGCAUGAAGUCGGAAUCGCUAGUAAUCGUGGAUCAGCAUGUCACGGUGAAUACGUUCCCGGGUCUUGUACACACCGCCCGUCACACCAUGGGAGCGGGUUCCGCCAGAAGUAGGUAGCCUAACCGCAAGGGGGGCGCUUACCACGGCGGGGUUCGUGACUGGGGUGCAGUCGGAACAAGGUAGCCGUAGGGGAACCUGCGGCUG
This 1287-nucleotide ribosomal RNA is filed under the name metagenome. RNAcentral describes it as "bacterial SSU rRNA". It matches the Rfam family "Bacterial small subunit ribosomal RNA", at positions 242 to 1520 of the family's 1533-position model. The record is from RNAcentral.